Molecule: ribosomal RNA, 274 nt
Filed under: uncultured bacterium
Lineage: Bacteria
Description: partial 16S ribosomal RNA
Rfam family: Bacterial small subunit ribosomal RNA
Source: RNAcentral
AUACGGAGGGUGCAAGCGUUAUUCGGAAUCACUGGGCGUGAAGGACGCGUAGGCGGGUUGGCAAGUCAGAUGUGAAAUCUUACAGCUUAACUGUAGAACUGCAUUUGAAACUGCUAACCUAGAGUAUGGGAGGGGGAGAUGGAAUUAGUGGUGUAGGGGUAAAAUCCGUAGAUAUCACUAGGAAUACCGAAAGCGAAGGCGAUCUCCUGGAACAUAACUGGCGCUAAGGCGUGAAAGCGUGGGGAGCAAACAGGAUUAGAAACCCUAGUAGUCC